This 429-nucleotide ribosomal RNA is filed under the name uncultured bacterium. RNAcentral describes it as "bacterial SSU rRNA". It matches the Rfam family "Bacterial small subunit ribosomal RNA", at positions 29 to 506 of the family's 1533-position model. The record is from RNAcentral.
AUUAACGCUGGCGGUGUGCCUAACGUAUGCAAGUCGUGCGACCCUUCGGGGUAGCGGCGAACGGGUGAGUAAUAUGCAGGAACUUAACUCAAUCUGGGGUAUACCCUUUCGAAAGGAAGGCUAAUCCCCCAUAGUCUCGCAAGAGUAAAGCUUCGGCGGAUUGAGAGAGGCCUGCAUCCUAUCAGCUUGUUGGCGGGGUAAAUGCCCACCAAGGCUAUGACGGGUAGGGGCUCUGAGAGGAGAGACCCCCACAAUGGGACUGAGAUACGGCCCAUACUCCUACGGGAGGCAGCAACUGGGAAUAUUGCGCAAUGGACGAAAGUCUGACGCAGCGACACCGCGUGAACGAAGACGGCCUUCGGGUUGUAAAGUUCGCAAAUUAGGGAGGAAAUCUUGACUUAACCUAAUCUAAGCCUUGACUAACUACGU